RNAcentral lists this long non-coding RNA (345 nucleotides) under Chrysolophus pictus (golden pheasant). RNAcentral's name for it is "lncRNA (ENSCPIG00010002183.1)". The record is from RNAcentral. Lineage: Eukaryota; Metazoa; Chordata; Aves; Galliformes; Phasianidae.
UGUCACUUGUGUUUCGAAGGUGUACGUGAAGGUGAAAGCAGCCCAGCUGUUGGGAAGAGGUGGCACAACCUCCUUUCUCCUUCUGAGGUGGUGUCACCCUGUGAUGAUUGCUCUACCCUGAGAAGACUGCAGUUUGGUUUGAUUCAUCCAAAACAUUUCUCUUCUAUCUCUGUCUGAAGUGGCUUUGGAUGCAAAGCAAAAGGAUGGUGUCGGACUCUAGAGGAUAAAAAUAUCUUUCCAAUGAACAGAAAAAUAACCCAAAUGAAUACAUCAAAGAGCCCCAAAUGGGCAGAUUCUGGACCUGAAGCUGAUAGAUUCUGCCACAAGUAAUCACACAGAUACAAG